GGAUGACCAGCCUGAGUAAAUUUAAAAUUUUAUUAUAAAACUUAACAUAAAUAAACAAAAUUAUUAAUUUAUUAAUUAAUUAUAUAACAGCGCUCUUAAUUAUGGUGGCCUUGGCACAAUAAUUGGUCAUGAAAUUUCACACGGUUUUGACGAUGUAGGCAGUCAAUUUAAUAAUGAGGGUAAUGCACAUAAUUGGUGGUCGAAUUCAACUAAAGCUGAAUAUGAAAGACGCGCUCAAUGUUUUGUUGAUGAAUUCGAUAAGUAUAGUUUUGUCCAGGGUAAUAAUGUUCAUAAAGUCAAUGCGCAACAAACAUUGACAGAAAAUAUUGCCGAUUCAACGGGUGUCAGAGCUGUUUUUGAGGCAUUUAAACGUCAUGCUGACAAGUCCUUGACAUCAAAUAUGAAAUUACCUGGUCUUGAACAUCUCAAUAGUUAUCAACUUUUUUUCUUAUCGUAUGCACACAUGUUUUGCACAAAUUCUGAUGUAUAUCCGGUGAUAAAUCAAUUAAGUGGUGAUGCGCAUAGCCCAGCAGCUUUUAGAAUUGCAGGCACUCUGUCAAAUAUUGAAGGAUUCGCUGAGACAUUUAAAUGUCCAAAAGGAACCAGAAUGAAUCCUAUUGAAAAAUGCAGUAUCUGGUAAUUUAAUUAUUUAUGCAUCGUCUGUUACUGCCAUUAAUUAUUUUUCAUGUACAUAUUCUUAUCGUUUUUUAUUUAGUUAUUAAUUUAAACUCAAUAUUAUUCUGUUACAAAGGUACAGACU
Molecule: long non-coding RNA, 760 nt
Organism: Microplitis demolitor
Lineage: Eukaryota; Metazoa; Arthropoda; Insecta; Hymenoptera; Braconidae
Exons: 3
Source: RefSeq, a predicted model, not a curated record